RNAcentral lists this ribosomal RNA (63 nucleotides) under Candidatus Poribacteria bacterium. Its description in RNAcentral is "partial 23S ribosomal RNA". The record is from RNAcentral. Lineage: Bacteria; Candidatus Poribacteria.
GGCCAGAUGUGUACACCGUGUGAACGGUUCAGCUAACUGGUACUAAUAGGUCGAGGGCUUGAU